UAAUAGUCGAAAGCGAAUGUUGCCUUACAUUUAAGCCGACUAUGUAUAAUUACAUACAAUACAGACGUCUCUUUCACUCGCACGCAACGGCCUAGCUAUUAAGACAGAUCAAUUUGAUCAUACACGAAAAAUCACUGGUCGGUGGCCAGCCGCCAUCUUUUUUUGUCAUUUAACCGCCAAUUCCCAAAAGUGUGGUAUUCAAUACGCGUAAAUACGCGCAUAACUUAAUCAAAAUCCGUCCACAUUUCAUUUAAAAGCGUGGCAACAUAGAAUACUGAAGAAAGAUGGCGAAUGCGCGACUAUACGACUUCUAAGUUAUGUCACAUGCGUCAAAGAUAUGUAUACAUGUUUCUCCUUAACAUAAUAGUGGGUUAAAGAAUAAAAUUGUAUACAUAUAUUCGACACAACCGGUAGAUUAUACUCUGUGCCAUUGGCAUAAAGAUGACCGGUUAUUCCUAGAGAUUGACCAGUUUUAAACGCAUCGCGUUAAAACGCUGCGUUUAUCGCAUAAAACAAUCGCGCGCUUAAACUGCGCGCAACACCAAACUUACCUAAGCUCAGCUCACCAAAUAAUGAAAGGCAAUUCUCCUAAGUCCCAACGUUCUUUUAAAAGGACAAUAUAAAAUCGAAUUUUGAACUAUAAUGGAAUAUAAGAAGGUUCGAAAUUCAAAACUGCAAAAAAUUAUCUAGAACUUAGGAUGAUCUAACAUUUCUUUAUUUGGGCGAAAGUGGGAAAUGGUGCACUUUAAAAAUGGUCUAUCUCUAGGAAUAACAUAACCUAGAUCGUUAUCGUAUGUCGCAAACGAAAAGAGACAAAGUGCCAAUUGAAACAGCCUUCGAAAUAGUUAUUUACGAUACAAGUGCGGAAAGGAUAUUGUAGAACUAAUCUGUGAUUAUUUCUGAAACAAAUUGACGAAUGAUCAAAUUUUAAAAAUGUAAACAACCGCUUUAAUAGGGGGUAUUACUGCAGCGUUCUGCCGCCAGAGUGCAGCACUAGCACCUAUCGUAAACCAUAGAGUAACUUAUACAUACCUACUGUGCCUUUAACUGUUUUUUGACAUAUUUUCACACAUA
Cydia fagiglandana is the source of this 1074-nucleotide long non-coding RNA. RefSeq lists it as uncharacterized. The transcript has 2 exons. NCBI's taxonomy places the organism in Eukaryota, Metazoa, Arthropoda, Insecta, Lepidoptera, Tortricidae. The record is from RefSeq and is a predicted model, not a curated record.